RNAcentral lists this ribosomal RNA (243 nucleotides) under Staphylococcus aureus. RNAcentral's name for it is "partial 23S ribosomal RNA". It matches the Rfam family "Bacterial large subunit ribosomal RNA", at positions 2606 to 2850 of the family's 2925-position model. The record is from RNAcentral. Lineage: Bacteria; Bacillati; Bacillota; Bacilli; Caryophanales; Staphylococcaceae.
UGGGUUCAGAACGUCGUGAGACAGUUCGGUCCAUAUCCGACGUGGGCGUAGGAAAUUAGAGAGGAGCUGUCCUUAGUACGAGAGGACCGGGAUGGACAUACCUCUGGAGUACCAGUUGUCGUGCCAACGGCAUAGCUGGGUAGCUAUGUGUGGACGGGAUAAGUGCUGAAAGCAUCAAAGCAUGAAGCCCCCCACAAGAUGAGAUUUCCCAACUAGGUUUAUAAGAUCCCUCAAAGAUGAUGA